Long non-coding RNA from Clarias gariepinus (North African catfish), 1834 nucleotides. RefSeq lists it as uncharacterized. The record is from RefSeq and is a predicted model, not a curated record. The transcript is spliced from 6 exons. NCBI's taxonomy places the organism in Eukaryota, Metazoa, Chordata, Actinopteri, Siluriformes, Clariidae.
UCAAAAGUAUUGCGGUAACAGAUCUAAAAAUAAUAAGCGUAAAUAAAAGAAAAUGAAAGACUCUUAAAAUUAUAACGCACAAAAAUUAAAAAUAGGUGCAAAGUCAUUUAGAAAAACAAACAACGCGGUCACGGGUCGAAAAAUAAUAAGCGCAAAUUCCAAAUGUAAACCCAUUACAAAUUAUAUUGCACAAAAUGGAAACACGAAUUCAGCAUUUUUCGAGUCACAAACAAAAUCAGGUUUUCCGCUCAUAUUUAAAUUUUUUGUGUGCUUAUGCUCCUUUCCCUUUUGCUCACGUUCUCAUGUUUUGCGCUUGCGUUUCAAAACUUUGCCGACAGAGUUUGAUGUAAAUUAGGGCGGGCUUCAGUGUCACUAUUGGUUAACUAGUCCGAAUUGACAGCUGCUCCUCUAGCCAAUCAGUCAAAGGGGGAGAUUACGUCACUCCAGCGCGACCCAUGACUUCUGUGGAUAACUCGUACAGGUGUGAAGAUGAAUAGCCCCCGUCAGCUGGCAAAUGCUGGACAGUCUCAGGGCCUUUCCUAGCAUGUUUCGAAGACAUGCAAUCUGUGGGAAAAAAAGAAUACAUUUAGCAUCCCGAACACAUACCAAGCCUGCAAAAGCAUUUAAACCUUAUGAUUUAAAUGUGUAUCUCCUGGAUAAAAAUUCUGAGACCACCCCUUCACCUUCACAUGAACUCAAGCUUGUGCAAGCAGGGCUUGGCAAAAGGACAAUCUCAAUUACAAUGGACAUGACACAUUCAUAGUUUUCCAGCUUACUGUAUGAAGCAUUCCCAAAACUGGAGGGUUUGAGUGGAGGAUGGAUGCUUUAUAAGGCUACUGGUGACUUUACAAUUUUUCUUUAUUAUCACUUAAGUCAGUAUGUAUUUGGUUAUAGAAAAAUGUCAUGUUAAUUCUAUCUUUGUUUAUAGGGGGGUGUGGUGUAAGGCGGCUAAACAUUAUUCCUCCAGACUCAGAAGGUUACACUGGAUCCCAAAUCAAAACUGCCUCUGCAUCUGGAAAGACAAUGCUGUAUGUAGUUCCUCUGCAAGAGGAACUGGACCUUAAUCCUCUCCCUAAUGAUGCCAGAGAAUUCAAAAAAAUGCCAAAGGCUACUUGCCAAAUGUGCAAUAAAAGCAUGCCCCUGCAGGUGCUGGCUCUCCACAUUCAGGUUUGCAAGUCACAUGAUUCAGCAUCUUUAAAUGAAGAGGUAAUGGAGUAAUGCUGUUUAAUUAUUUGCUGAUUUCAUGAUGUAUUUCGACUAAAUGUUUAAUUUUUAUUAAUUUAACAUUCCACAUUGAUUUUAUAUUAGAUCUAGAACUGUGUUCAAACCUUCAAAAGAAUACCAAAUGAUUUCAGUGUAUGUUUGUCAGUAGAUUGCUAAUCACAUACUUAUGAUGAAGCGCUUUGUAUGAUAUGCUUUUAAUUUCUUUGUUGUUGGAGAAGACAGAAGUCCAGUUUGUCUCAGAAAGCAAUUUGGAUGAGAUGAAACAAGAAAAUUCUCCAUCUGAGUUUGUUUUACCAUGCCCAAUAUGUCAGCUGAAGUUUCCUGUGGACAAUCUUGAACUGCAUGCCAGCCUUUGUGGAGAACAAAAUCUAUUGGAGUCUUUUUUACACGAUGAUCCUUGUAUUACUGAUGAUACGACAGGCAAUUCAAGCUCUCAACAAGUAUUAUGUCUAGAGGGUCUUCUGGAGCUGCUUGCUAGCCGAGUAAAUGCAGAAAACCACUUUCGCAUUUGUGUCUUACGGGACAAUCUCCUAGAGAGGGGGCUCAAGCAGUGGCAAAGACAAAAAAAAGGAAAUCCAGUCAACCAGCUAAAGGUAACCUUCAUUGGCGA